CUAAGGUAUCACAGUCUAUUAUAUUACUUAAUUCUUUUUAAUUGAUAUAGUAUUCUUUGUAACCUAUGACCCAUUUUUACUAAUAUUGACUCACUUCAAAGAUGCUUCCAUGCAGCUCAAACUAAAGCAUAGCAAAGCUAGAACACAAAUCCUUGAUUUCAAGAUAAAAGGCAAAAACGGGCUGAACAUUGCACUCUUCCCAGAUGAUGUAGCUGGAAGAAGACAUAAAAACCGAGAAUACAAUCUUUUCUGUGAGUUUCUAGAAUUCCAGGGGGAUGAAGAAGAAGGAGGAGGAGGAGGAGGAGGAGGAGAAGAAAAGAAGAAGGAGGAGUAAGAAUACGGGGACCAUGAGAACUCAUUGUAAACGAGGACAACUUCAUUGAGAAAGUCACUACACAGGAGUCACCUUCAGAUAAUUUUGAUACCCACAGUAUAAUGCUGGUGCAUUACUGCUGCAUUGUCAUUCCUUGGACAAGGACUACAAAGAAGAAGCAACGUUUCUAUUUUCCAGGAUCUGCACAAAUAACCCUGCACAUCAGCAGUACUCAUCCUGUUUCCUCGAUGAGGCAAUGAGACCCAGAUGGUUUUAACCGAAGUGCCAAGACAGCUAGUGGGGAAGGAGAAGACCCAGGGCUGGCAUCCAGCUCUUGCCAAUUCACUGCGGGAGCCUGGGCUAGCACUUUAUGGCCCUGGGACUCAGUCUCCCCACUGGUAAGCCAGGAACUGUGACCCCAGGUUACCUAAUUCACAGGUAUGAGUGUGUUCUGAGAAAAUACAAAUGCCAUUCAUUUCUUAUUGACUGAAAUCCAAGUCUAUUUCAAUAACUCGGCAACAUGGUCAAAUAUCAAAGACCCGAAUUUAGCAACUCCUAGAGUCAAAACAAACCCAGUGCCACACACACUCUGUCUUCUCCUCAGAACAAGGUAGUAGUAUUAAGCCCACAACCAACCUUGGAUUCUGUCCAGUGGGACCCAAAAGGGAGAAAUGAGCUUUACAUCUGCAGUUUUGGUGUGGUUUGAGACCUCGUCUGCAAAAAAGAAGUUACUUACCAGGGAGGAGGAGAAACAUUUUGGCGGAUACAAAAA
Mustela erminea (ermine) is the source of this 1085-nucleotide long non-coding RNA. RefSeq lists it as uncharacterized. The record is from RefSeq and is a predicted model, not a curated record. The transcript has 3 exons. NCBI's taxonomy places the organism in Eukaryota, Metazoa, Chordata, Mammalia, Carnivora, Mustelidae.